UGGAGGGCAUGUCUGGUGCCAGCAGCCGCGGUAAUUCCAGCUCCCAUAGCGUAUAUUAAAGUUGUUGCAGUUAAAAAGCUCGUAGUUGAAUUUCGGGGUUCCACCGUUGGUCGGGCUAUUGUCUGUACUGGCGUGUGGAAUUUCUACCUUCUGGGGAACCAUCAUGUUAUUUAUUUAGCGUGGUGGGAAACCAGGACCUUUACCUUGAAAAAAUUAGAGUGUGUAAAGCAGGC
RNAcentral lists this ribosomal RNA (233 nucleotides) under uncultured Gigaspora. Its description in RNAcentral is "partial 18S ribosomal RNA". It matches the Rfam family "Eukaryotic small subunit ribosomal RNA", at positions 549 to 785 of the family's 1831-position model. Lineage: Eukaryota; Fungi; Glomeromycota; Glomeromycetes; Diversisporales; Gigasporaceae. The record is from RNAcentral.